GCGAUUAGGUCGGGAACUCAAAGGAGACUGCCAGUGAUAAACUGGAGGAAGGUGGGGAUGACGUCAAGUCAUCAUGGCCCUUACGACCAGGGCUACACACGUGCUACAAUGGCGCAUACAAAGAGAAGCGACCUCGCGAGAGCAAGCGGACCUCAUAAAGUGCGUCGUAGUCCGGAUUGGAGUCUGCAACUCGACUCCAUGAAGUCGGAAUCGCUAGUAAUCGUGGAUCAGAAUGCCACGGUGAAUACGUUCCCGGGCCUUGUACACACCGCCCGUCACACCAUGGGAGUGGGUUGCAAAAGAAGUAGGUAGCUUAACCUUCGGGAGGGCGCUUACCACUUUGUGAUUCAUGACUGGGGUGAAGUCGUAACAAGGUAACCGUAGGGGAACCUGCGGUUGGA
This 401-nucleotide ribosomal RNA is filed under the name Salmonella enterica. RNAcentral's name for it is "bacterial SSU rRNA". It matches the Rfam family "Bacterial small subunit ribosomal RNA", at positions 1121 to 1522 of the family's 1533-position model. The record is from RNAcentral. RNAcentral also lists the same sequence under 3 other names. Lineage: Bacteria; Pseudomonadati; Pseudomonadota; Gammaproteobacteria; Enterobacterales; Enterobacteriaceae.